Molecule: ribosomal RNA, 483 nt
Filed under: uncultured bacterium
Lineage: Bacteria
Description: partial 16S ribosomal RNA
Rfam family: Bacterial small subunit ribosomal RNA
Source: RNAcentral
GACGAACGCUGGCGGCGUGCUUGACACAUGCAAGUCGAACCAUAAAGCCUGAGCUUGCUGCGGUGGAAUAGUGCCGAACGGGUGAGUAACACGUUAGCAAUCUUCCCUUGACUCUUGCAUAACUGCGGUAAACCGUAGCUAAUACCCGAUAAGACACCAUGGGGCAUCCCCGGGCGUCGAAAGAAUUUCGGUCAAGGAUGAGCUCGCGGCCUAUCAGCUAUGUGGUGAGGUAAUGGCUCACCAAGGCGACGACGGGUAGCCGGCCUGAGAGGGUGACCGGCCACACUGGAACUGAGACCCGGUACAGACUCCUACGGGAGGCAGCAGUGGGGAAUAUUGCACAAUGGGCGAAAGCCUGAUGCAGCAACGGCGCGUGAGGGAUGAAGGCCUUCGGGUUGUAAACCUCUUUUAGCAGGGAAGAAGCGAAAGUGACGGUACCUGCAGAAAAAGCACCGGCUAACUACGUGCCAGCCGCCGCCGUAA